This 787-nucleotide ribosomal RNA is filed under the name uncultured Adhaeribacter sp. Its description in RNAcentral is "bacterial SSU rRNA". It matches the Rfam family "Bacterial small subunit ribosomal RNA", at positions 8 to 796 of the family's 1533-position model. Lineage: Bacteria; Pseudomonadati; Bacteroidota; Cytophagia; Cytophagales; Hymenobacteraceae. The record is from RNAcentral.
AGAGUUUGAUCAUGGCUCAGGACGAACGCUGGCGGCGUGCUUAACACAUGCAAGUCGAGCGGAAAGGCCCUUUCGGGGGUACUCGAGCGGCGAACGGGUGAGUAACACGUGAGUAACCUGCCUCUGGCUUUGGGAUAACCCUCGGAAACGGGGGCUAAUACCGAAUAUUCAUUCUCGCAGGCAUCUGUGGGGUUGGAAAGUUUUUCGGCCAGGGAUGGGCUCGCGGCCUAUCAGCUAGUUGGUGAGGUAACGGCUCACCAAGGCUACGAUGUCUAGGGGUUCUGAGAGGAUGAUCCCCCACACUGGUACUGAGAUACGGACCAGACUCCUACGGGAGGCAGCAGUAGGGAAUAUUGGGCAAUGGACGAGAGUCUGACCCAGCCAUGCCGCGUGCAGGAAGAAGGCCUUCUGGGUUGUAAACUGCUUUUAUCAGGGAAGAAAACGCUCCUGCGGGAGUAACUGACGGUACCUGGUGAAUAAGCACCGGCUAACUCCGUGCCAGCAGCCGCGGUAAUACGGAGGGUGCAAGCGUUGUCCGGAUUUAUUGGGUUUAAAGGGUGCGUAGGCGGCUUAUUAAGUCAGUGGUGAAAGCCAACAGCUCAACUGUUGAACUGCCAUUGAUACUGAUAAGCUUGAGUACAGACGAGGUAGGCGGAAUUGAAGAUGUAGCGGUGAAAUGCAUAGAUAUCUUCAAGAACACCGAUUGCGUAGGCAGCUUACUAGGCUGUAACUGACGCUGAGGCACGAAAGCGUGGGGAGCGAACAGGAUUAGAUACCCCGGUAGUCC